GCACAGUGCGCAGCGAGGCGAGGUGAGGCGUGCGUCCAGCAAGCAACCACCCAAGUUUGACCUCGGAUCAGGUAGGGAUACCCGCUGAACUUAAGCAUAUCAAUAAGCGGAGGAAAAGAAACCAACUGGGAUUGCCCUAGUAACGGCGAGUGAAGCGGCAACAGCUCAAAUUUGAAAUCUGGCCUCCUUCGGUGGUCCGAGUUGUAAUUUGCAGAGGGUGCUUUGGCGUUGGCAGCGGUCUAAGUUCCUUGGAACAGGACGUCACAGAGGGUGAGAAUCCCGUACGUGGUCGCCCGCCUCCGCCGUGUAAAGCCCCUUCGACGAGUCGAGUUGUUUGGGAAUGCAGCUCUAAAUGGGAGGUAAAUUUCUUCUAAAGCUAAAUACCGGCCAGAGACCGAUAGCGCACAAGUAGAGUGAUCGAAAGAUGAAAAGCACUUUGGAAAGAGAGUCAAAAAGCACGUGAAAUUGUUGAAAGGGAAGCGCUUGCAGCCAGACUUGCCCGUAGUUGCUCACCCGGACUUUUGCCCGGGGCACUCUUCUGCGGGCAGGCCAGCAUCAGUUUGGGCGACCGGAUAACGGCCUCUGUCACGUACCAUCCCUCGGGAUGGCCUUAUAGGGGAGGCGUAAUGCGGCCAGCCUGGACUGA
RNAcentral lists this ribosomal RNA (646 nucleotides) under fungal endophyte. RNAcentral describes it as "eukaryotic LSU rRNA". It matches the Rfam family "Eukaryotic large subunit ribosomal RNA", at positions 1 to 592 of the family's 3401-position model. Lineage: Eukaryota; Fungi. The record is from RNAcentral.